Molecule: small RNA, 930 nt
Filed under: Oryza sativa Japonica Group (Japanese rice)
Lineage: Eukaryota; Viridiplantae; Streptophyta; Magnoliopsida; Poales; Poaceae
Description: sRNA Os02g0236401
Source: RNAcentral
UUCUUGCUUAAAGUUGAACAGUGGGGGGAAUGGACGUCCAUUUGGCAACCUUGCGUGGGGUUCUCGCAAUUCAUCAAAGAAUGAAUGUGCACAUGCUUCGAGCUUGCAUCGUAGAUUUGGUGCAUACUGGAGAAGACGUGAUGCAAGGUCAAUUGCUUCUGGAGGCAUCCGCUUGUGGAAAACCUUGUGCCAUGGGUGAGCUUUAAUCUGAGGAAAUCUGAAUUCUGUGUAGUUGGGAUUCAUGCAGCGGAUUUCCUCACGUGUUGGAGUACCAAGAACCUACCAACAAAGAAAAUUCAUUCAAAGCCACAAACAGGAAAUAACCUGGCCAAGGAGCAACUCAGCAAGAACACACCCAGCUGACCAUAUAUCAAUUGAUGUCGUGUAUUCGGUUGCCCCAAAUAUCAGUUCUGGAGCACGGUAAUAACGUGAACAUAUAUACGAUAUUAAGAAUCAGCUUAUAUUCAGAUACUGUUAACCACAGGUUAUUAAAAUAUCAAGCGUGAAAUGAACAUACCAAAAGAUUCUGAGGCUUCACAUCCCUGUGGCAAACUCCAGGUACAGUAUGAAUGUAAGCCAAACCACGGAAUACCUGGUAAACAUACAAUUUGACAUAUAUAAGUGGCAUCCUUUGGUUCAUGUUGCUAUAAUGCUUCAACACACGAUACAGUGACUCAGGAACAAAUUCCAUGACCAGGUUAAGGAAAAGUUCAUCUCUGCUUGUUGUAGAGAAGAAGCAAUGCUUCAAAGAAACAACAUUGCAAUGAUCCAUUGAUCGCAUAAUCUGCAACUCCCUGUUCUUGUAACGCUUGUCCUGUAAAACCUUCUUAAUGGCGACAGAGGACAAUGUUACACUGCAGAAGUUUACCUGAAAGACGAUUCCAAAUGAUCCAGUUCCCACAACUCGUUCUGCCAUGUAGCUAAUCGUCU